This 117-nucleotide ribosomal RNA is filed under the name Feifania hominis. Lineage: Bacteria; Bacillati; Bacillota; Clostridia; Eubacteriales; Feifaniaceae. The record is from RNAcentral.
GCCGGUGUCAAUGACGCUGAGGAUCCACCCGUUCCCAUACCGAACACGGUAGUUAAGCUCAGCAGUGCUGAAAAUACUUGGUGGGAGACCGCCUGGGAAGAUAGGUCGAUGCCGGCA